UAAUACGGAGGGGGCUAGCGUUGUUCGGAAUUACUGGGCGUAAAGCGCACGUAGGCGGACUGAAAAGUUGGAGGUGAAAUCCCAGGGCUCAACCUUGGAACUGCCUUCAAAACUAUCAGUCUGGAGUUCGAGAGAGGUGAGUGGAAUUCCGAGUGUAGAGGUGAAAUUCGUAGAUAUUCGGAGGAACACCAGUGGCGAAGGCGGCUCACUGGCUCGAUACUGACGCUGAGGUGCGAAAGCGUGGGGAGCAAACAGG
This 256-nucleotide ribosomal RNA is filed under the name uncultured bacterium. RNAcentral's name for it is "partial 16S ribosomal RNA". It matches the Rfam family "Bacterial small subunit ribosomal RNA", at positions 521 to 776 of the family's 1533-position model. The record is from RNAcentral.